Molecule: long non-coding RNA, 1114 nt
Filed under: Mytilus galloprovincialis (Mediterranean mussel)
Lineage: Eukaryota; Metazoa; Mollusca; Bivalvia; Mytilida; Mytilidae
Source: RNAcentral
GGCCCCUACUUAUGAAAAAUUCUGGAUCCGCCAGUGAAGACCUUUUUGAAUUCUUGUCUGACAGUGUUAAAAAAAUCUAUAGGUAUAAUUGAUUUUUUACAUAUUUCUGUAUUUGGGACUUACUGGUCAUUUUGUUCUAAAGGUAGUGAAGCAGCAACUGUUUUUCGGUCAUUUUAUUUUCGUCUUUGCAAAGUUCGAUUUUUUUCUAAUAGAGACAUUGGAUUUUUUUAAUGGACUCGUACAUUUACCAACCUUAUUAAAACCAUUAAUAAUGAUAUCCAUUUUAUGUGCGACAAGGUGGUAGCAUUGAUAUAUUUUGUGAAAAUUGCAGCAUUGGAAAUAAAGCUAUUAUAUUUCUUUCUUUUUUUUGGGAUACAUUUCUUCUUCUUUUGUAUAUUAAAUGAAGCUGUUGUUGGUUUUUUUGUGUUUUUUUUGGGGGGGGGAUUGGUUUACACAUGUUAUUAUUGGUCCUUUUAUAGCUUACUUUUCAGAAUUAAACCUAAAAUUGCUUACUUUACAAGAUUGUGUCUUGGGUGGAAAGAUGUCUCAUUUGGCACUCUGAUUGAACAUAUUACUUAAUGAGUAUUGAUCAAAUAUUUCAGUCUUAUCUAUGAAUGUAAGAGGUAUAAGAGGUAAACAUGCAUCUAUUGUUUGUUUUCAAGAGACUCACAGUAAUGAGGAUAUCGAGAAACUUUGGCAAAUUGAAUGUCACUGCAACAAUAAAAGUGCUGGUGUUAGUGUGAUGAUUAAAAGGGUCUACAUUUUAAGAUUCGUGAUUCUAAGAUAGACCAGAAAGGUCGUUUUAUUGUUUUAAACUUAUCAUUAUAUGAACAAAAGCUAAUCUUUGUAACUGUUUAUGGAUUUAAUACUGAUGAACCAUCAUUGUUUAGUGAUAUUUUACACAACAUCUCUUGCUUUACUAAUACUAGCAUCUUAAUGUGUGGUGACUGGAAUGUUGUACAAGAUUUUCAUAUGGACACUUAUAAUAUUCUGCACAAUAGAAAUUUGAACUCUCCUAAUAAGAUUGAAGAAAUUUCAAAAACUUUAGAUCCAUGGAGAACCUGCCAUCCAGAUGACAAAAAAUUUACUUGGCGUCAAACCUCUCCUAUCAAGC